This 2876-nucleotide ribosomal RNA is filed under the name Salmonella enterica subsp. enterica. RNAcentral's name for it is "23S ribosomal RNA". It matches the Rfam family "Bacterial large subunit ribosomal RNA". The record is from RNAcentral. Lineage: Bacteria; Pseudomonadati; Pseudomonadota; Gammaproteobacteria; Enterobacterales; Enterobacteriaceae.
AGUUAAACGGCUAAGCGUACACGGUGGAAUAUACACCGGCAGUCCAGAAGGCGUGAAGAGGCGACGCUUUAAUCGCGAUAAGCGCCGGCCAGGUAUGAACCGUUACCAACCGGCGAUACCCGAAUAGAAGCCGGUAAUGUUUCGACACACUAUCAUUAACUGAAUCGCCAGGUUGUAAGGCGAACCGGGGAACUGAAACAUCUAAGUACCCCGAGGAAAAAGAAAUCAGCAAUUCCCCAGUAGCGGCGAGCGAACGGGAGAGCCCAGGAGCACAGGUCGCUUAUGUGUUGUAGUGGAAGCGUCUGGAAAGGCGCGCGCGAUACAGGUGACAGCCCCGUACACAAAAGCGCAUGUGCUGUGAAGCUCGAUGAUGAGGGCGGGACACGUAGGCAUCACAAUGCGAAUAAUAAUAGAGACCAUCCUCCGGACCAUCUCCUGACUGACCGAUAGUGAACCCAGUACCGUGAGGGAAAGGCGAAAAGAACGGCGAGGGGUGAAAAAGAACCUGAAACCGUGUACGUACAAGCAGUGGGAGCACCCUUUGGGGUGUGACUGCGUACACUUUGUAUAAUGGGUCAGCGACAUAUUCUGUAACAAGGUUAACCGAAUAGGGAGCCGGAGGAAGCCGAGUGCUUAAUUGGGCGUUAAGUUGCAGGGUAUAGACCCGAAGCAGUGAUCUAGCCAUGGGCAGGUUGAAGGUUGGUAACAUAACUGGAGGACCGAACCGACUAUGUUGAAAAAAUUAGCGAAUGACCUGUGGCUGGGGGUGAAAAGGCAAUCAAACCGGGAGAUAGCACAGUUCUCCCCGAAAGCUAUUUAGGUAGCGCCUCGUGAAUUCAUCUCCGGGGGUAGAGCACUGUUUCGGCUGAGGGGGCCAUCCCCGGCUUACCAACCCGAUGCAAACUGCGAAUACCGGAGAAUGUUAUGCAGAGGAGACACACACGGCGGGUGCUAACGUCCCGUCGUGAGAAGUAGCGAACCGCCAGCUAAAAGGUCCCAAAGUCAUGGUUAAGUGGGAAACGAUGUGGGAAGGCGGAGCAGCGAGGAUGUUGGCUUAGAAGCAGCCAUCAUUUAAGCGUAAUAGCUCGCACCAGGUCCGGAAGUCGGCUGCGCGGAAGAUGUAACGGGGGCUAAACCAUACACCGGCUGCGGCAGCGGCACUCAGGUGUUGUUGGUAGAGGCAUUGCAAGCUGCGAAGGUGGCCUGUGAGGUUGCUGGAGGUAUCCAGGGUAGAAUACUGACAUAAAGUAACGAUAAAGCAGGUGAAAAAGCCCGCUCGCCGGAAGAAAGACAGGGAUCCAACGUUAAUCGGGGCAGGGUGAGUCGACAGGCGAAGGCCGAGAGCGUAGUCGAUGAGGAAGCGAUUUAGCAUAUUCCCGUACUUAUUGUUACUGCGAAGAAGGGGGACGGGAAGAAGGCUUUAUGUUGGCCGGGCGACGGUUGUCCCGGUUUAAGCGAUGUGGGUGUGUGUGUUCGAGUAAAUCCGGUUCACUUUAACACUGAGGCGGCGACGAGGCACUACGGUGCUGAAGCAACAAUGCCUACUUCCGAGAAAAGCCUCUAGCCUCGGUAACAUCAAAUCGUACCCAAACCGGCACAGGUGGUCAGGUAGAAAUACCAAGAGCGCGAGAGAACUCGGGUGAAGGAACUAGGCAAAAAUGGUGCCGUAGCUUCGGGAAGGCACGCUGACAUGUAGGUGAAGUGAUUUACUCAUGGAGCUGAAGUCAGUCGAAGAUACCAGCUGGCUGCAGCAUUUAUUAAAACACAGCACUGUGCAAACACGAAAGUGGACGUAGCACGGUGUGACGCCUGCCCGGUGCCGGAAGGUUGGUAUUGAUAGGGUCGCGCAAGCGAAGCUCCUGAUCGAAGCGGUAAGCAGCGGCCGUAGCACCCAUAACGGUCCCUAGGUAGCGAAAUUCACUUGUCGGAGUAGUUUCGCGACCUGCGAAUGGCGUAAUGAUGUGACUGUCUCACGAACUCAGUGAAGUGAACUCGCUGUGAAGAUACAGUGUACCCGCGGCAAGACGGAAACCCCGUGAACGCUACUAUAAUGACACUGAACAUUGAGCCUUGAUGUGUAGGAUAGGUGGGAGGCUUUGAAGUGUGGACGCCAGUCUGCAUGGAGCCGACGCGAAAUACCCUUUAAUGUUUGAUGAUGUUCUAACGUGGACCGUAGUCGGGUUGCGGACAGUGUCUGUGGUAGGUAGUUUGACUGGGGCGGUCUCCUCCUAAAAAGAGUAACGGAGGAGCACGAGGUUGGCUAAUCUGGUCGGACAUCAGGAGGGAGUUUGGUGCAAUGGCAUAAGCCAGCUUGACUGCGAGCGUGACGGCGCGAGCGAGUGCAGCAGGUCAUAGUGAUCCGGUGGUUCUGAAUGGAAGGGCCAUCGCUCAACGGAUAAAAGGUACUCCGGGGAUAACAGGCUGAUACCGCCCAGAGUUCGCAUAUCGACAGCGGUGUUUGGCACCUCGAUGUCGGCUCAUCACAUCACAGGGGCUGAAGUAGGUCCCAGGGUAUGGCUGUUCGCCAUUUAAAGUGGUACUUGCGAGCUGGGUUUAGAACGUCGUGGGAACAGUUCGGUCCCCUAUCUGCCGUGGGCGCUGGAAACUGAGGGGCUGCUCCUAGUACGAGAGGACCGGAGUGGACGCAUCACUGGUGUUCGAAUUUGUCAUGCCAAUGGCACAGCAGUAGCUAAAUGCGGAAGAGAUAAGUGCUGAAAGCAUCUAAAGCACGAAAACUUGCCCCGAGAUGAGUUCUCCCUGAGACUUAGGAUGCUCCUGAAGAAGACGUUGAGAACGACGACGUUGAUAGGCCGGGUGUGUAAGCGCAGCGUGCGUUGAAGCUAACCGGUACUAAUGAACCGUGAGGGCUUAACCUU